GACGAACGCUGGCGGCGUGCUUAACACAUGCAAGUCGAACGAAGAGCGAUGGAAGCUUGCUUCUAUCAAUCUUAGUGGCGAACGGGUGAGUAACGCGUAAUCAACCUGCCCUUCCGAGGGGGACAACAGUUGGAAACGACUGCUAAUACCGCAUACGAUCUAAUCUCGGCAUCGAGGAUAGAUGAAAGGUGGCCUCUACAUGUAAGCUAUCACUGAAGGAGGGGAUUGCGUCUGAUUAGCUAGUUGGAGGGGUAACGGCCCACCAAGGCGAUGAUCAGUAGCCGGUCUGAGAGGAUGAACGGCCACAUUGGGACUGAGACACGGCCCAGACUCCUACGGGAGGCAGCAGUGGGGAAUCUUCCGCAAUGGACGAAAGUCUGACGGAGCAACGCCGCGUGAGUGAUGACGGCCUUCGGGUUGUAAAGCUCUGUUAAUCGGGACGAAAGGCCUUCUUGCGAAUAGUGAGAAGGAUUGACG
This 477-nucleotide ribosomal RNA is filed under the name Veillonella parvula. RNAcentral describes it as "bacterial SSU rRNA". It matches the Rfam family "Bacterial small subunit ribosomal RNA", at positions 28 to 474 of the family's 1533-position model. The record is from RNAcentral. Lineage: Bacteria; Bacillati; Bacillota; Negativicutes; Veillonellales; Veillonellaceae.